RNAcentral lists this ribosomal RNA (477 nucleotides) under Chaetodon kleinii (sunburst butterflyfish). RNAcentral describes it as "partial small subunit ribosomal RNA". It matches the Rfam family "Bacterial small subunit ribosomal RNA", at positions 788 to 1491 of the family's 1533-position model. Lineage: Eukaryota; Metazoa; Chordata; Actinopteri; Chaetodontiformes; Chaetodontidae. The record is from RNAcentral.
CACUAUGCCCAGCCUUAAACAUUGACAGUUAAUUACACCCACUGUCCGCCCGGGUACUACGAGCGCUAGCUUAAAACCCAAAGGACUUGGCGGUGCUUUAGACCCACCUAGAGGAGCCUGUUCUAGAACCGAUAAUCCCCGUUAAACCUCACCCUUCCUUGUUCUUUCCCGCCUAUAUACCACCGUCGUCAGCUUACCCUGUGAAGGCCCUAUAGUAAGCACAAUCGGCAAUGCCCAAUACGUCAGGUCGAGGUGUAGCGAAUGGAAGGGGAAGAAAUGGGCUACAUUUACUAAUAUAGUAAAUACGGAUGAUCACCCUGCAACGAGUAUCUGAAGGAGGAUUUAGCAGUAAGCAAAAAAUAGAGCGUUUUGCUGAAAUUGGCCCUGAAGCGUGCACACACCGCCCGUCACUCUCCCCGAACUAAGAUCUAAAACAUAACUAAUAUGCUAUAACUGUAAAGGGGAGGCAAGUCGUAA